UCGAGAAUUUUUCUCAAUGGGGGAAACCCUGAAGGAGCGACGCCGCGUGGGGGAUGAAUGGCUUCGGCCCGUAAACCCCUGUCAUUUGCGAUCAAACCUUGCGAUCUAAUAAGUCGUAAGCUGAUAGUAGCGAAAGAGGAAGGGACGGCUAACUCUGUGCCAGCAGCCGCGGUAAUACAGAGGUCCCAAGCGUUGUUCGGAUUCACUGGGCGUAAAGGGUGCGUAGGUGGUCGGGUAAGUCUGAUGUGAAAUCUUCAAGCUCAACUUGGAAACUGCAUCGGAUACUAUUCGGCUAGAGGAAUGGAGGGGAGACUGGAAUACUUGGUGUAGCAGUGAAAUGCGUAGAUAUCAAGUGGAACACCAGUGGCGAAGGCGAGUCUCUGGACAUUUCCUGACACUGAG
RNAcentral lists this ribosomal RNA (402 nucleotides) under uncultured bacterium. Its description in RNAcentral is "bacterial SSU rRNA". It matches the Rfam family "Bacterial small subunit ribosomal RNA", at positions 355 to 750 of the family's 1533-position model. The record is from RNAcentral.